AUUGAACGCUGGCGGCAGGCUUAACACAUGCAAGUCGAGCGGAGAUGAGGUGCUUGCACCUAAUCUUAGCGGCGGACGGGUGAGUAAUGCUUAGGAAUCUGCCUAUUAGUGGGGGACAACAUUCCGAAAGGAAUGCCAAUACCGCAUACGUCCUACGGGAGAAAGCAGGGGAUCUUCGGACCUUGCGCUAAUAGAUGAGCCUAAGUCGGAUUAGCUAGUUGGUGGGGUAAAGGCCUACCAAGGCGACGAUCUGUAGCGGGUCUGAGAGGAUGAUCCGCCACACUGGGACUGAGACACGGCCCAGACUCCUACGGGAGGCAGCAGUGGGGAAUAUUGGACAAUGGGGGAAACCCUGAUCCAGCCAUGCCGCGUGUGUGAAGAAGGCCUUAUGGUUGUAAAGCACUUUAAGCGAGGAGGAGGCUACUGAGACUAAUACUCUUGGAUAGUGGACGUUACUCGCAGAAUAAGCACCGGCUAACUCUGUGCCAGCCGCCGCGGUAA
RNAcentral lists this ribosomal RNA (501 nucleotides) under uncultured bacterium. RNAcentral describes it as "partial 16S ribosomal RNA". It matches the Rfam family "Bacterial small subunit ribosomal RNA", at positions 30 to 523 of the family's 1533-position model. The record is from RNAcentral.